Molecule: long non-coding RNA, 6219 nt
Filed under: Xyrichtys novacula (pearly razorfish)
Lineage: Eukaryota; Metazoa; Chordata; Actinopteri; Labriformes; Labridae
Source: RNAcentral
AAUCUGAUUUAGGCUCAAGCCAAAAACAUACCAGAUCCAUAUUGAGCGUGUUCAGUAUUUGUUCAGUAGAGCAGCAUUAGGUAUCUCAUACAGGAUGUGUAUUUGGAGCGUGGCAGCAGCAUAGUGCGGCCCCGGUCAGCUGGGCUCAGUAUAGAGGAAACAACAUGCUCAAAACAGGUUGUUUCGCCUUACUGUGGUGUAUUUCCUGCUAAUCUGGAUAUAAUUCAGUGACCGCUGAGCCUCUACUAUAUGUGGAAAAAGCAACGUGAUUUUACAGUUUCGGUUUUUGCAGGUUUACUUGUGUUUAUUAAAGUAAACUAUGUUCCUUUAUGAAGUGCUGUUACCUUUAGACAGAGUUAGCAGUUAAAAGUCCUGUUGGGGUCCAAAUGGUUCAGGGAUUGUCCAUCAGAUUGUUCUGUGUUAUUGAUAAAUUCAUAACCAGGAAGUAUUUCUCAUCAACAAGGACUGAUACACAGUCGUGAGUUUACAUACAGUGUUUAAUUUUGAAAUACCGAAUGAUAUGCAUGGUUUUUGUGCUUGACUCUCUAUCUGGAACGAUUUUCUCUGUGUGGAUUGACGUGCAUUGGAGGCGUAGAGCAGCAAAAAAAGACUCGCCGCGUAUCUUUAGCAGUGCUGCUCUCGAUACGGUGGUGGAUGGAGCGUCCUGUAUGCUUUGCUGCAUUGAUUAGAAUGGCAACCUAUUUUCUGCGUGAUACGUGACACUGCUGCCACACUCCAAAUACGCAUCCUGUAUGUUUUAGCCUUUAGGUGAAACAGGUUUAUGAAUGUUAGAGGAGCCUGUCCUCUUAUUUUAGUAUCUCUAACCUCUUAUACCUAAACAGCAUCACUUGAAACUUUAGACCAGGUUUUUUUUGUUUGCAGUGAUUUCCUCUCUGAAAUCAGACCCACAAUCUGAAAAUCUUUGGCUGAUAUCCUCUUGCAUUCGAGGUUUGCGAAUAAUGUCAAUGAAGCAACUUUGAUAAACUGAUACCUUGUCUGGGUGGUAGGGCUGUUAGUUAUCAGGCUUUUCUCUACUGGAUUCAUCUGCCUGUCGGGGUGCAGGGGCAGACACCCUCUCUGAUUUGAAGAGCAGGUUGGAGCUGGUUUAGGUUUGAACCAUCACUUAGUUUAUUAUGCUACAGGCUCAGACUGCUAUCGACUUAGGGCCAAUCCCAAUCCGGCUGUUAAGCUGUGACGUAGCCGCGUUCUCUUUUUCCACUUCCGGGUCCAGCGGAGUUGUUGUUAUAAUGCCUCAGUGCUAUGUCCCUUGCUGCUUAAACUGAUCAGAGACAAAAACAGCGACUAAACUAUCAUUCUACAGAUUUCCUCCCAACAACAAAGACAACAAAAUAACUUCAUCAUUUCUGUAUUGUAUCCAUAGACUGUAUACAGUCUAUGAUUGUAUCACAAACACACGGCAUCACAUCCAUUCAUUCAUUGAAUUCAAAGCUUCGCGCACCAAAGCCUCGGGGUGUCUUUGGUUUAUCGUUUUACAUUUAUAGUCCACUUGAUGGCGCAAUAGAGCAAAUGAAGCACGAUCAUGAAGCUUCGGCCCAUGAGGCGAGUAAUUGGAUGGAAAGCUUCGAUGCUUCAUGAGGCUUCAUCUCGCCAUCACUAAAAUUUACGUUAAUAAAUCUAUCCGAGUUGAAAGCUUUAAGUCCCUUUUUAACUCUGAGUGGUUCCCUUCUGAAAAAGGACGUUAUUUUAAAGAGAUUCACGGGUUCCGCCAUUGUUGUUUUGAAUGGAGAGUGAAUGGAGGCUGAUUCCCCAUGGACCCAGAAGCCGCUCCACUCACAAAAUGACGUCACGCUUAACAGCCGGAUAGUCACUCUUUCCCCUUCCCCUUCCACUUCGUCUUACCCCUUUGUCUACCCCUUCCCCUUGACCCUGAAAACAGAGUGAAAACAAGCUCCUAAGAAACGAGGCGCCACUCGAUUCCUGCUACAUCAUCAUACUUUGCUGUUUGCAGUGAAUUUGCCACCCGAGUCUGACAUCAGUGUAGCUAUCAAUAGCUAUAGUCUCAUAAGCUAGCUCAUCAUAACUCACGAUUUUAAAACGCAAACAAUUCAAAACAUCACUAAUAUUUGCACUACUGAAAAUUGUUAAUGACCUUAGGUGCAACUUGGACUCACACAAGCUUACAGUCCUUGUGCUACUGGAUCUAAGCGCUGCUUUUGAUACAGUAAAUCACACAAUUCUUUUAAAUAGACUUAGGCACCUUGUAGGCCUCUCUGGUACUGCCUUUCAAUAGUUUAACUCCUAUCUCACAUAUCGAAAGUUUCUUGUAAGUUUGGACAUAUGCUCUUCAAAGAUUCAUAGCAUUAAAUGUGGUGUGCCCCAAGGCUCAAUUUUAGGCCCCAUACUUUUUAAUUUAUAUAUGCUCCCACUGGGAGAUAUCACCAGGACGCAUGGUAUCACUUUUCACAGCUAUGCUGAUGACACAUAGCUCUACAUAUCCAUGUCUCCUGAUGACACAGGGCCAAUCGAUGCCCUUUUUAGCUGUAUCCUAGACAUUAAAUUCUGGAUGGCAGAAAACUUCCUACAGCUCAACCAGGACAAAACUGAGGUUUUAAUUAUCGACCCUAAGGCUCAGGGAGAGAAACUUUGGACAAAACUGAAAACCCUGUCUUUAAUUCCAUCAAAUCAGGUAAAGAAUCUGGGCAUCAUCUUUGACUCUGAGCUGACUUUUAUUCCACAUAUUAAAAAUAUAACAAAAACAGGGUUUUAUCAUCUAAAGAAUAUAGCCAGAGUCCGCCCCUUUCUCUCCCGGACUAACACAAAGACGCUAAUGCAUGCUUUUAUCUCUAGUCGUCUUGACUAUUGUAAUGCCCUGCUUUCUGGUCUUCCAAAAAGAAACAUUGCAAGUUUAUAACUGUUGUAAAACUCAGCAGCACGUGUGCUGACGAGGACCAGAAGGUGGGCACAUAUUACACCGGUUUUAAAAUCACUGCAUUGGCUCCCUGUGUGCUCUAGGAUUGACUUUAAGGUCCUUUUAAUGGUUUUUAAAUGUCUUAGGGGUCCUGGACCGUCUUAUCUUUAAGAUUUGCUUUUACAACAUGAACCCUCGCAGACCCUGAGAUCCGCUGGCACUGGCCUUUUAAUAGUCCCCAAAGUGAGAACACAAACUUACGGUGAGGCAUCUUUCCAGCACUAUGGCCUCCAUCUUUGGAAUAGCCUGCCGGAGGACCUUGGGGCCGCAGAGAAUGUUCAUAUUUUUAAAAGCAGGCUCAAGACCCACCUUUUUAAUUUGGCUUUUAACUAAUGUAUUUAUUUAAUGUAUCUUAUAUUUAAUCUAUAUUUUUAUCCUAUUUUGAUCUUAUUUUAUUUCAAUUAUAUAUUUUAGUCCUCAUUUUACAUGUUAUGUUUAUUCGAUUUUUUCAAUUAUUUUUAAAUGAUAUUUUAGCUAUUUAUUAGUAUUUUAUAAUUUUAUCUAGUUUAAUGUUUUUAGCUGGUUUAGUUUAUGUUUUUAUUGCAUUUCUCCAGUGUUUCCUCAGUAAGGGGGCCACCUGCACUGGAGGCUGUGACUGGCUCUGUCUAGGGUUUCUCUGCCUUGCGAUGUGCACUCAGCUCGGCCAGGUGGUGGUCUGCAGCAGUGCUUGCUGCUGUGGGCCUCUUACUGGCCUGUAGCAGGGUGCGCACCCAAGUGGAGGUGUCUGGCCCUGGGCCGUGAGCGGCCUCCUGACGUUUCCUGACUUGGCUCCACUGUACUCAGCCGCAUGUUUUUAAGAUAACAUUAUCUGUGUGUGUGUGUGUGUGUGUGUGUGUGUGUGUGUGUGUGUGUGUGUGUGUGUGUGUGUGUGUGUUGGGGUGGGCUCUCGGUGAGGGUUGGGAGGGUGGGGUGGUGGGCUGGAUAUGGGGGGGCUCAUUGUUUUAAAUUGUAAAGCACUUUGUGCUGCAUUUCUUUUUGCCUGAAAAGUGCUAUAUAAAUAAAGUUUGAUUUGAUUUGAUUUACAUGGAGUAGCAAAGGAUUGAAUAUCUAAGUGUCCCUACUGUAUAAAUCAUAUCAAAAUCUUAUCCCUGGCUUUCAAGUGAGGUCCUGGUAUGUCUUCGUUUUAAGGGCUGUGUACCCCUUGACCUGAGCCCUUUCCUUUAACCUUACAGAGAACUGGGACACCCCUUCGCUUGAUGUGAACGCGCAAAACUGAGGGCUAAGGGGUACAAAUGGGGAUUGACUCCUUAGUCUCCCCAGGGAACUGGUACAUUAAGCUCCUGUUUUGCCCUCUCUGUCCUCUAGUUUAUGUGUCACAUACUUUAAAUCUGUAAGUCCUUUUUAAGUCCCUGACCACAGAUCUUUCUGGGUGUCCUUAAGCUCCCUUGUCUUGUUGGUUCCUCUGGAUUGCUGCUGCAGAUAUCCUGCUGAUGUGGACCUGCUGACUUUCUCACAUUUAUUACUACCAUUGUAAAGUUAAUGUUAAACUGUGUUAGACACUUUGCACCUGCUGUUUUUGUAGAGUGGUUUGGUGUGACGUCUUAUGUUAUAUAAAUUUAAUUUUUCUCUUGACUGGCUGACCUAAAUUGAUGGGGCCUUGUUUCUUACAUGUUACAGUAUAAGAACUUCUGUGAGUAUAGUUUUGGAUAGGAUAAAUGUGAAAUUAGCGAAGUCAGCGGCCAUAGUUCAGUGUCUCCCGGGGGCCAGAGCGGGCGACAUCGAAGGUAGUUUAAAACUGCUGGCAAAGGCUAAACGUAAAUUCCGUAAGAUUGUAAUACAUGUCGGCGUAAAUGACUCCCGACGCCGCCAGUCGGAAGUCACUAAAUUGAACGUGGAAUCGGUGUGUGAAUAUGCCAAGACCAUGUCGGGCUACGUAGUUUUCUCUGGUCCCCUGCCCGAUCAGACAACUGAUGAGAUGUGUAGCCGUAUCUCAUCAUUCAACCGCUGGCUGUCGAGGUGGUGUCCACAAAACGGCGUGAGCUUCAUUGAUAAUUGGAAGUCAUUUUGGGGCAAGCCUGGUCUGAUUAGUCGGGACGGCAUUCAUCCCACCCGAGAUGGAGCGGCCCGUUUAUCCAGAAAUCUGGCCGAUUUUAUUAAUCCGAACCACUGACAAUUCAAAGCAGAGAUCAGGGAGCAGGGCCGCAGUCUUACACGCCCCCCUGCGCCUCUUUUAGAGCAGCCUCCCAGCCACUACCACUUAUACACAGAGACAAGGGAGCAGAGCCGCAGUGUAAAACGCCCUUCUGUACUCCCUUCAGAGCAGCUUCCAAGCUACAAUCAGCUUGACUUAGAAAUCAGGGAGCAGAGCCACAGUGUAAAACGUCCCUCUGUACUCCCUUCAGAGCAGCUUCCAAGCUUCUCUCAGCUUGACAUAGAAAUCAGGGAGCAGAGCCACAGUGUAAAACGUCCCUCUGUACUCCCUUCAGAGCAGCUUCCAAGCUACUCUCAGCUUGACAUAGAAAUCAGGGAGCAUAGCCACAGCUCUACACGUUCCUCUGUACUUUUGUUAGAGCAGCCUCCUAGCUACUGUCACUUUAAUAUAGAGACUGUGUCUGUCCCUCGUACUCGGCUCUCAAAUUCUAACCGAUCAAUUAAAAAAGGAGUAAAUAACAAGAACCUUACUAGAAUUAAGACUGUUAACAUAGCUGAACCAAGUACUAGUAAGAUAAAAUGUGGCCUACUGAAUAUAAGGUCUCUAAAUUCAAAAUCUGUGUUAAUAAAUGAACUAAUCUCUGAUCAUCGCAUUGAUUUACUCUCCCUAACCGAAACAUGGCUGCGUAAGGAUGAAUAUGUAAGUUUAAAUGAAUCCACUCCUCCUAGCCACCUAAACUUUCACAUUCCUCGAGACUCUGGCCGAGGUGGUGGAGUUGCAGCUAUCUACAAUUCCAGUCUUAGAAUUAACCCAAGACCAAAACUAGAUUAUAACUCUUUUGAAAGUCUCGUUCUCAGUCUCCCGCACCCAGCCUCAAAGUCCAUGAGACCACUGGUAUUUGCUAUAGUUUACCGCCCUCCGAGCCCAUACUCUGAGUUUUUGUCAGAGUUCUCAGAGUUCCUAUCCGAAUUAGUCCUUCUCGCAGAUAAAGUCAUCGUCGUCGGUGACUUUAAUAUUCACAUAGAUGUGGAAAAUGAUAGCCUAAGCAUUUCUUUUCGGUCCUUGCUAGAUUCAAUUGGGUUUACACAGUGUGUACAUAGACCUACGCACUGCUUUAACCACACUCUCGAUCUCGUCCUGGCUUAUGGCCUCGAAACCGAUGCCCUGUUAGUCAGCUCAUUAAAUCCUCUAUUAUCUG